CCCAUCCCAGUGGGCUCUCAAGCCAGCGUUGUUAGCCUCUAGUCAGUAACGAGGAAACCGGGGCUGGGAGAGCUGGUCAUCACCAUCUUACUCCCCCUUUUCUGCCCUGCAGGUUUGUCUUGACAUCCAAGGAGAAGAGAUCUUCCCAGGAGGAGGCCGAGGGAACGCUACAGGCGAUUUGCCUGUCCUGGACAUUUUAGAUGAGUGGACGUAUGUAACAUGGUUUUUUGUGACUGGCUUCUUUCAUUUGGCUCCACGCUUCAUCAGAUUGUGUUUCAGUACUGUGUUUCUUUCGGGGACCAAAUAAUGCUCCAUCGUAACCACAGACCAUGUUUCGUUUAUCAUUCAUCCGUUCAAGGGCGUCUGGGUUGUUUUCCAUCUUUGCCUAUUGGAAAUAGUGCUGCCAUGAACAGUCAUGUACAACUUUUUGUUGAAACACUUGUUUUCAAUUCUUUUGGAUACAUGUACUCCUAGGAGUAGACUCACUGGGUCAUCACCACCAACUUUUGAUCAAUAUUUAAAAUUAAGUUUGUCCAAGUGUUAGAUUUGUUCCUCACAUGUCAAUUGUCUCCUGUCCUUCUUUACCAAACUCGUCCCCUGCCAACAAUGACUUCUCUUGGCACAAGCA
This is a long non-coding RNA of Bubalus bubalis (water buffalo), 628 nucleotides long. RefSeq lists it as uncharacterized. The transcript is spliced from 2 exons. NCBI's taxonomy places the organism in Eukaryota, Metazoa, Chordata, Mammalia, Artiodactyla, Bovidae. The record is from RefSeq and is a predicted model, not a curated record.